This 189-nucleotide small RNA is filed under the name Pseudomonas indica. RNAcentral describes it as "Pseudomonas sRNA P27". It matches the Rfam family "Pseudomonas sRNA P27". Lineage: Bacteria; Pseudomonadati; Pseudomonadota; Gammaproteobacteria; Pseudomonadales; Pseudomonadaceae. The record is from Rfam by way of RNAcentral.
CGGGUUUACUCCUGGAUGUUACCGUUUCGUCCAGCCUAAGCCGGACGGCGUUUUGGUGUCUGAUUCGGUACGAAUCGGGAGCACCAUCUGCGUAGGCUUUUCGUUUAAGGCUUGCACCGCCUACGGUCUUGGAUAGCCCCCGCCAGGCAGGGACCCCAAUUUUUCAAGCGUGCCGGGCAAACCCGGCAC